Molecule: ribosomal RNA, 254 nt
Filed under: uncultured bacterium
Lineage: Bacteria
Description: partial 16S ribosomal RNA
Rfam family: Bacterial small subunit ribosomal RNA
Source: RNAcentral
GACAUAGGUGGCGAACGUUAUCCGGAAUUAUUGGGCGUAAAGGAUGCGUAGAUGGUAGAGUAAGUUAUUGGUAAAUGUCAAACUCAAUUUAACGGAAGCUAGUAAUACUGUUCUACUCGAGGAUAGAAGAGGUUGAUGGAACUCUAUGUGGAGGGGUGAAAUCCAUUGAUCUGUAGGGGAACACCAAAAAAGGCGAAGGCAUUCAACUAUUCUAUUCCUGACAUUGAGGCAUGAAAGCGUGGGUAGCAAACCGG